CCCCCAAAUAACUUCUCAACUGAGUCAACAAGUACUUGUUUCACUCGACUGCUUGGAACACUUGAAAUCUGGAAACAGUCUUCUGCGAUGAUUAACUGAGUGGGUACGACAGGACCCGUAUCAGGCAAUUGGAGUAACACUCGUCCAAGUCUAUUCAAAAUUGCAGGAUUCCUUGCAAACCAUCCUAUAUCAGAAGUUAGUGUCAAAAGGAUAGUUUCCGAUUGCUUAGAGUGCUAGAUAGAUCAUUCGCAUAGGUAAAGCUUUCGAAGUACUAUAUUUCCAAUUGCAGAAAAAUUUAAACAAAGAAGUGUCACAAGUAAUAAUCAACAAAAAUGCAGAAUGCAUGGAUGGCAUAUGAAUCAUUAAAGCGGAAGAAGUUAGCUACUUUCUAGAAACAGAAAUAGAGAUUUCCUGUUAUAUAAAAUCAAGGGAAAACCAAAACAUGACUUUUUUUUGUCACAACCAGAAAUCUAUUUCCUAAGCCAGUCUGCAAUAUAAAAUGUCAUUGAUUUCUCACCCACUGUAUCGAAACUUUGUGCCAGAGGAGUAACUCCAGAAGUAGAAAUGACGCCAUGAGAUGGCCGAAACCCAAAAAUUCCACAAUAUGAAGCAGGAACUCUUACACUUCCUCCAGUAUCGGUUCCUGAAAAAGUGAGGGCCUUGUGCUUCAACUUAAAGAAGCAAGAAAACAACAAAAGCACACAAGGAAUAACUUACCUAAGGAAAAAUCUGCGAGGCCUGCAGCUACGACAACAGCAGAACCGCUAGAAGAGCCUCCAGGCACCCUAUCUGGUGCGCACGGAUUUCUGGGUGUGCCAUAAUGCUUGUUCUCUCCAUUCAUACUGCCAACAACACAAUGCAAAAUUCAAGGGCGUUUUCUGUUGAGUGAUUUUCGAAUGUCCAAAAUCAUUAUAUAAAUACUUUUACCACGAAAAUAGACUUGUAGGGAUCAAUCAUUUGUCAAAAUUUUUUGCAAACAAAACAGUAAUGCAAGUUUAAGCAUGUGAAGUAAGACAAGGCCUCUUUGCACUAACCAGUAAGCCAUUUCAUCCAUGACAGUUAUACCAAUACUUGUGGCACCUCCACUCAAUAUUGCCGAAACAGCCGGAGCUGUUGAUUCAGCAGCCGGGUGAGUCCUCGCCCAAUCAGGAUUCCCAAACCCAGUCACACGUCCAGCCACAUCAAAUCUGCCUCCAAGUUCAAAUUUUAGUGAAUACAAAAAUGUUUUGGCUUUUACACACACACACACACAAGAAAAAAAAAAUUGCACAAUUCAACACCCUGAAGUUCAUCAUCAUGGUUCCACAAGCACGCAUAAAACCACACAAAGCAGGAAGAUUUAUUAAAACGCUUCUCUGAAAAAGCACUUCUCAUCAUAAGUGCUUUUGUUGGAAGUAUUUUAACUUUAGUAGAAGCAAAUCCACCACAAAGUUUCAUUAAAAAUUCAAGUGCUUCAGGUAAAAAUAAAAAAUAAAAAAACUUUUGAACUUUUUUCUUUCUUUCUGAAAGUGCUUUUAGUCAUUCUCAAAUGAAGAAACGCCCAAUCACAGAAACAACCCACAAAAUUGGGUUGUUGUUGGAGAAAACUGCUUGAAUUCAAAUCCGAAAUUCGCAAGCAUCCACCAAAUAGAAGAGUGAUAUAAAUGAGGAAAAUUUAAGAGAGUAGCUCUCACAUGUCUUUAACAGCAAAGGUGAGGCUGCUCAGAGGAAGGUCAUGUGACGAAGACGGCGGCCGAAGAAGGAAUUUCUCCACGAAAGCUCCAUGUUCUGAGUCUAUCGCCAUCCCUCUCUGCCACUGCUGUCUCAGACAAUCUCAGCCUCAGCAGCAGCUCCACAUUUUGAUGACAGAAGUGAACAGCUCUCCACUCAUCAAUCAUGCGAUGAUCACUUCAGCCAGUGAGGACAAAUAUUAUUCCUUAAAAAAAAUCUGUGUUGAUAAGGCGGUCACUUCAGCCAGUGAGGACAAACUGGAAAUUCUGGAGGUUGCUUAAGUCCUCACUGUGGUCGUUAGACAUUGAGAAUCGAUAAAGUGGUACUUAAAAGCAGGAAAAACAACUUACCAUAAAAUCUGAAACAUCAAAUGUGUUUAAAAGGUCGUACCCAGUGCACAAGGCUCCCGCUUUACGCAGGGUUUGGGAGAGGUGAAUGUCGGCUAGCCUUACCCCCAUUUAUGGAGAGGCUGCUCUCAAGUCUCGAACCCGAGACCUACCGCUCAUGGGCGAAGGCACUUGCCAUCGCACCAAGUGCGACCUCAAAUGUGUUUGGUAAAAAAAAAAAAAGCUUAUUUAAAAAAUUGUUGUCAAUGACAACAAAAAAGCAUAGAAAAGCAGAAGUAGGAUCUACUAUGCUUUAAAAUUAUCUAAGCAUAGUGAACAGUGGCCAUUUGAUGAAAUUUUCAAAUAGCAAGUAUACCCCUGCCUUUUUUACAAAAUAACAAUCGUUGCCCGUGGAAUAUUAUCUUUGACAACUAUUAUAGGGAAUUAUUAUUAGCAUUCCAAAAGUCUCAUUUGACAUUCCAAACUUUCUAUAAUUAGAAAGAAAAAAAACACUUGUGAGGAGUGUAGAAUGAGAUUUUUGGAAUGCUAAUAACAGUUCCGUUAUUAUAUCACAUUAAAUGCCAUAUCAUUUUUAGUAUUUAACAUAUUCACAUUAAUUUUAUAUAAAAGUUGACAUAACACUCAGAUACUGUUUUCUUUUUUUUUACAAGCACUUUUACAAUAAAAGUUUAUUAAACGCUUAACAACUUUAUUUUACAGCUGUUCUGCUGUUUUUUUUUUUUUUUUUAACAUAACAAUACCAAACUAGCAAAACUUACAAGCACAUAUAUCAGGAAAAGAUUAUCAGAGUCUGCAACUCAAAAUCUUGUAGUCAACAUUCACAACUUCCCGACGUGUUCUUUGAGAGUGUCGUAAAGAGUCUCGACAAGAUUGAGCAGGAACCCGUCCGAGCCAUGCUUUGCCAGCAAGGAAACUGAAACGGGUAGGUUAUCGUACAUCCCUAGUGGUAUAGUCACCUGCAAAUACGUAGAAAUACGUUACAAACUUUCACAAGAUAUUUGCAGUCAUUGAAGAAGAAAAAGAUCGUAGUCAUAUACAAACAUGGAGACUGGAGAGGGGGAGGGAGAAGUAGAGAUAGAUAGAGGGCUUAAAAACCUGGCAGAAUCCGGAAACUACGGCAAUGGAUAGGAAGCUGAAAGCCCUGGCACGAAAAUUGUGCAGUGUUGUAGGAUCUGUUUGCAGCUUUGGUGGAUCCCCUGGAACUGUAGGCAUUGCGAGGACACCGAAAUCCUGAUGAGUAAAUCAAAGAGAUUGUGUUAUGUAUUCAUUAGAGACGGUAUGUAUCAUCCAUUUCUUCUGCUAAAGGUACCUUUUUAAGAGCAAAAGGAAGGAAGAUGCUAACAAAUAACAGUUUGUCAAAGAUGAGAGAGAGAGAGAGAGAGAGAGAGAGUACCCCGAGAAGGUCAGUAAGAGCAGCACGCAAUUCAGUCAUCACGGAGUGACAAACAUCGACAUUUUCAUCUGUUGACCGAACAGCUGCCCAUAUACGUUCUCCUAUCCCGGGACCUAAGUCAGGUCUGACUGUACUAACCCAUUCACCAUGGUUGCUCUUGAAUUCAUACCUAUUCUAUCAACCAAAUGAUAAAUUUGGAAUUCAUUAUGAACGACAAAUUUGAAUUUUGUUGAUCAAGAUGAAGAUGCAGAAAUUAUCACACUCAUAUUCAAGUCGACCAAAUCAGCACCUUUCAAGUAGACGAUCGGCGGUUGAUAGGGCUGCCAAUGACGGUAUAAUGUACUCUUCACUUGGAUUUCCUUUAUCCAAGAAAGAGUUCAAGCUUGGAACUUUGUCCUUGACAACGUCCCCAAGGUUAGCAUGUUUUAUAACAUGACCUGCAUUUGCAGAUAUAACGAGUGAGCUUCUUCUUUCCAUGUUAUGAACUUGUCCCUAUCUCAGCAGGAGACCUAAUUUAAUUAAGUGAAUGAUGAUUUUCAGGUAAUAAUCUGUCUACUGAAUUUAAUGGUCUAUUUGUGUCUUAAAAUGCGAGGGAAUUAUAAAUUGGACUCGAUUCAUGUCAAUCAAAGUACUUACAGCAAGAGAUGAAACAGAUGAAUAUGGUCAAAUCACUUACCCCCAAAUAACUUCUCAACUGAGUCAACAAGUACUUGUUUCACUCGACUGCUUGGAACACUUGAAAGCUGGAAACAGUCUUCUGCGAUGAUUAACUGAGUGGGUACGACAGGACCUGUAUCAGGCAAUUGGAGUAACACUCGUCCAACUCUAUUCAAAAUCGCAGGAUCCCUUGCAAACCAUCCUAUAUCAGAAGUUAGUGUCAAAAGGAUGGUUUCCAAUUGCUUAGAGUGCUAGAUAGAUCAUUCGCAUAGGUAAAGCUUUCGAAGUACUAUAUUUCCAAUUGCAGAAAAACUUAAACACAGAAGUGUCACAAGUAAUAAUCAACAAAAAUGCAGAAUGCCUGGAUGGCAUAUGAAUCAUUAAAGCGGAAGAAGUUAGCUACAUUCUAGCAACAGAAAUAGAGAUUUCCUGUUAUAUAAAAUCGAGGGAAAACUGAAACAUGACUUUUUUUGUCACAACCAGAAAUCAAUUUCCUAAGCCAGUCUGCAAUAUAAAAUGUCAU
Molecule: long non-coding RNA, 4630 nt
Filed under: Malus domestica (apple)
Lineage: Eukaryota; Viridiplantae; Streptophyta; Magnoliopsida; Rosales; Rosaceae
Description: long non-coding RNA (MDOM_LNC011643)
Source: RNAcentral